This is a long non-coding RNA of Myotis brandtii (Brandt's bat), 478 nucleotides long. RefSeq lists it as uncharacterized. NCBI's taxonomy places the organism in Eukaryota, Metazoa, Chordata, Mammalia, Chiroptera, Vespertilionidae. The record is from RefSeq and is a predicted model, not a curated record. The transcript is spliced from 2 exons.
GACUAGUUAUGCCCUAGCCUCCUUUUUUUUGUAUUGUUUCUUUGCAAAGGUUAAUAUUGCGCAUAUUGAGCGUGUCUAUUCUCUUUUUGCAUCUAGAAUACAUACCUUUGGAUAUUCAGGGAAAUUUCCUUUUUUACAGACUCCUAAGGGCACAAUCUCCAAACACAAAAGACCUCAGGUCCUCAAUUAUUGUUGUUGUGUCAAAUAUUAAGUGUUAACUAUUGGAGAACAUUUUUAAAAAGAAUUGAAUUUUUUGUCUAUUUUUUAAUUUUAUUUAAUCCCAGAGAUUUCCCUCCUCGUUCCCCACACUCUAAUUUACCACCAGUGAAUUUCAUGCAACCCCCUUAUGUCUUCUCCUUUGAGUCUAAUGUAUAAAAAUGGUGCAAAACUGUCGUUCUCCUGAGCAUUACUCAACCUGUUGUUAUUUUGCUUCCUGGCAAAUGUCGCCAACUUGGGUCAAAUAAACUUAGAAAAAGUC